UUGUAAUUUCAUCCCCUUUGAUUUUAUUGCAUUUUCUUUAAUUCAUUCUUGGUCCACAUUCUUUUUAUUGCUACACUCUUAUCCUUUUUCUUGAUUUAUUUUUUUUUUCAAUUCUAUCCCUCAACAUUUAAUUUUAUUUGGUUCUUUAUCCAGUUUUGGUCUUCAUUCUUUCAAUAACAUUUUUGUAUCAUUUUCUUAGUUUUGUUUUUGGUUUUUC
RNAcentral lists this long non-coding RNA (217 nucleotides) under Populus trichocarpa (black cottonwood). Its description in RNAcentral is "long non-coding RNA (PTRI_LNC002443)". Lineage: Eukaryota; Viridiplantae; Streptophyta; Magnoliopsida; Malpighiales; Salicaceae. The record is from RNAcentral.